AACGAACGCUGGCGGCAGGCCUAACACAUGCAAGUCGAGCGGACCCUUCGGGGUUAGCGGCGGACGGGGGAGUAACGCGUGGGAAUAUGCCCUUCUCUACGGAAUAGUCCUGGGAAACUGGGGGUAAUACCGUAUACGCACUUCGGGGGAAAGUUUUAUCGGGGAAGGAUUAGCCCGCGUUGGAUUAGGUAGUUGGUGGGGUAAUGGCCUACCAAGACGACGAUCCAUAGCUGGUUUGAGAGGAUGAUCAGCCACACUGGGACUGAGACACGGCCCAGACUCCUACGUGAGGCAGCAGUUGGGAAUCUUAGACAAUGAGGGCAACCCUGAUCUGGCCAUGCCGCGUGAGUUAUGAAGGCCUUAGGGUUGUAAAGCUCUUUCAGCUGGGAAGAUAAUGACGGUACCAGCAGAAGAAGCCCCGGCUAACUCCGUG
RNAcentral lists this ribosomal RNA (433 nucleotides) under uncultured bacterium. RNAcentral's name for it is "partial 16S ribosomal RNA". It matches the Rfam family "Bacterial small subunit ribosomal RNA", at positions 29 to 507 of the family's 1533-position model. The record is from RNAcentral.